GACGAACGCUGGCGGCGUGCUUAACACAUGCAAGUCGAACGGAAAGGCCCUGCUUUUGUGGGGUGCUCGAGUGGCGAACGGGUGAGUAACACGUGAGUAACCUGCCCUUGACUUUGGGAUAACUUCAGGAAACUGAGGCUAAUACCGGAUAGGAGCUCCUGCUGCAUGGUGGGGGUUGGAAAGUUUCGGCGGUUGGGGAUGGAAUCGCGGCUUAUCAGCUUGUUGGUGGGGUAGUGUCUUACCAAGGCUUUGACGGGUAGCCGGGCUGAGAGGCUGACCGGCCCAGUUGGGACUGAGCUACGGCCCAGACUCGUACGGGAGGGAGCAGUGGGGAAUAGUGCACUAGGGGCGGAGGCCUGAUGCAGCACAGCCGCGUGCGGGAAGACGGCAUGCGGGUUGUAAACCGAUUUCGCCUGUGACGAAGCGUGAGUGACGGUAAUGGGUAAAGAAGCACCGGCUAACUACGUG
This 468-nucleotide ribosomal RNA is filed under the name uncultured bacterium. RNAcentral's name for it is "partial 16S ribosomal RNA". It matches the Rfam family "Bacterial small subunit ribosomal RNA", at positions 28 to 507 of the family's 1533-position model. The record is from RNAcentral.